This 382-nucleotide ribosomal RNA is filed under the name uncultured bacterium. Its description in RNAcentral is "bacterial SSU rRNA". It matches the Rfam family "Bacterial small subunit ribosomal RNA", at positions 30 to 416 of the family's 1533-position model. The record is from RNAcentral.
AUUGAACGCUGGCGGCAUGCUUUACACAUGCAAGUCGAACGGGCUUGGGGCGUUGCUCCCAAGUUAGUGGCGAACGGUGAGUAAUACAUCGGAACGUACCGUGUAGUGGGGAUAACGUAGCGAAAGUUACGCUAAUACCGCAUACGAUCUACGGAUGAAAGCAGGGGACCUUCGGGCCUUGUGCUAUACGAGCGGCCGAUGUCUGAUUAGCUAGUUGGUGAGGUAAAGGCUCACCAAGGCGACGAUCAGUAGCGGGUCUGAGAGGAUGAUCCGCCACACUGGGACUGAGACACGGCCCAGACUCCUACGGGAGGCAGCAGUGGGGAAUUUUGGACAAUGGGCGAAAGCCUGAUCCAGCCAUGCCGCGUGUCUGAAGAAGGCC